Molecule: non-coding RNA, 240 nt
Organism: Pelobates cultripes (western spadefoot toad)
Lineage: Eukaryota; Metazoa; Chordata; Amphibia; Anura; Pelobatidae
Source: the annotation of a GenBank genome assembly
GUGUCUGUCACUGUGUGUGACUGUCAGUGUGUGUCUGUGACUGUCAGUGUUGCGAUGGCCGCGGCUGGACAGUGGAGAACCUGGCGGGGCACGCAAUGCCACAUUCUGACGUGACAUUAACGUGCUCCACCUUCACAGGUUUUCAAGGAGUAGCAGGAGGAUCAGUUUGGCACAGGAUGCGGACGGCGCCAUUGGGGGUACACCAGAGGCUGGACUCCGUAGUUGCAUACUGGCAGCGGC